ACAAAGCACCAUUAAAGAUCUUGCAGUAACGUUUAGCAGUGUCGUGAAGUGCUGGAGCUUGGAAAAGAGCUUCUUGGGACCUUCCCAUGUAACAAAGGGCAACGCUGCUGGCUGCAACUGGGAAGAAACUGAGCCUUAACAUCACUGAGAAGACUGGUACCUAUCUCAGCCUUAAGCCACGCUGGGCUUCAUGGAAUUCCCUGCCUGUUGAUCCCAGUGUUGGCAACUGAUGCUUAAAUGAAUCAUCUGAAGAAUUAAAGAUCAGAUAUAUAAUUGUUACUCCAACAUAUCUAUUUCGGUUGAGCGUCAGCUGCCAUUUCCAUCGUAAGUCCCAUUUUCAUGGCUAUAAAAUUUGAUGUUUUCCAUUUUAUGGGGCUUGAACUUUGCUUAGUACUCUUAACAAAUAAGCAUGGCAAUUCAAAGUUAAACCACUGUGUAGUCAGAGCUGGUUCAAAAAGUGUCA
This is a long non-coding RNA of Falco peregrinus (peregrine falcon), 463 nucleotides long. RefSeq lists it as uncharacterized. The transcript is spliced from 3 exons. The record is from RefSeq and is a predicted model, not a curated record. Lineage: Eukaryota; Metazoa; Chordata; Aves; Falconiformes; Falconidae.